RNAcentral lists this long non-coding RNA (206 nucleotides) under Ornithorhynchus anatinus (platypus). RNAcentral describes it as "lncRNA (ENSOANG00000047529.1)". Lineage: Eukaryota; Metazoa; Chordata; Mammalia; Monotremata; Ornithorhynchidae. The record is from RNAcentral.
UCUGCCCCCUGUGUGUGAGUGAUGAAGGGAGAGGGCUUGAAGCAUGGCUCUGAGGUGGAAACCAAUAUUUCUCACUGUUUCAGUGUACAUGAAAGAUGAGGGGCGAAAAAAAGGCUAAGAAUGGCAAGAGUGCUAUUAACACUUUUAGAUCCGAUGCUAAAGACUUCAUAUGUACGUAUAUUUAUAUUUAGAAAACUCAUUUAUAG